Molecule: long non-coding RNA, 888 nt
Organism: Brassica napus (rape)
Lineage: Eukaryota; Viridiplantae; Streptophyta; Magnoliopsida; Brassicales; Brassicaceae
Exons: 4
Source: RefSeq, a predicted model, not a curated record
UCCGCGUUGUUACAUUAAUUUUGUUGUUGCUUGAUUUGGGCUUCUGAUGACACUAACAUUUCGACGUUUUAUGGUCUAAAGCCCGAUAGCCCAACAAAUUAAACCCUAAUCGUGUUCAUCUCUCUUCUCUGCUCAGAGGCGACCUCUGAACUUCACACUGAAUCUGAAACGGUCAGAGUUAUCGUGGCUUUGAAUACAGGCUUAGCUUGGUUGGUUGAGUCGGUGGACCUGCGAGUAUAAAUAGCACCAGUCAUUGUUCCGGUACGGUCCUCUCGCGUCUUCUGCGAUUCUGGGAAACCCGAGGGGGAGGAUAACUGAUGGGAUUGGACAUGCUCCUUCUUGAUUCAAAAGGAUUCAUGUUCUUCUGUUUGUGCUUCUGAACUCUUAUGUUGAUCCAGUGUACAAAGACUAUGGAGAUAAGGUAGCAAGAUGUAUCGCAUGGGUGCAUGAUCAGCAAUGUCACCAGGUGAUAUAGCUUUAAAGGUGUGGCUGAAUAGGUUUUCUAAGAUUCAUCUCAACUUCUCAUCAGCACUUCCAUCAUUACCAAACAGAUUUAUGGGCCUACCAAAAAUAGACAAGCUUUGCCAUUUCUGCUACUCUUCGUUUACAUGUACAGUGUGGUCAGAGUUGGAGAACAGAGGUGGCAGCUGCAAAUACUGAAGGAAGCUGAGAGCUUGACUUCUUGAAUGACAUCGACCUUGAUUCUCAAGUUAUGAUUUCCAUGCCUUUGUUCAAAAUAAAAUAUAACUAAUAGUGUGAUCUUUUCUAUUUUUUUUUUUUACUUAGUGGCCACGAUCAAGGAUUUCGAAAGAUUUUUUUUUGUAUCUAAAGACCUGCGAUAUAAUGUAAUAUUUUUAUCCAUUACUAUUUACUAUAUUCCAAACUUUA